RNAcentral lists this ribosomal RNA (637 nucleotides) under Weissella viridescens. RNAcentral describes it as "bacterial SSU rRNA". It matches the Rfam family "Bacterial small subunit ribosomal RNA", at positions 50 to 643 of the family's 1533-position model. Lineage: Bacteria; Bacillati; Bacillota; Bacilli; Lactobacillales; Lactobacillaceae. The record is from RNAcentral.
AAUACAUGCAAGUCGAACGCUUUGUGGUCCAACUGAUUUGAAGAGCUUGCUCAGAUAUGACGAUGGACAUUGCAAAGAGUGGCGAACGGGUGAGUAACACGUGGGAAACCUACCUCUUAGCAGGGGAUAACACUUGGAAACAAGUGCUAAUACCGUAUAACACUAAUAACCGCAUGGUUAUUAGUUAAAAGAUGGUCUUGCUAUCACUAAGAGAUGGUCCCGCGGUGUAUUAGCUAGUUGGUAAGGUAAUGGCUUACCAAGGCAAUGAUACAUAGCCGAGUUGAGAGACUGAUCGGCCACAAUGGGACUGAGACACGGCCCAUACUCCUACGGGAGGCAGCAGUAGGGAAUCUUCCACAAUGGACGAAAGUCUGAUGGAGCAACGCCGCGUGUGUGAUGAAGGGUUUCGGCUCGUAAAACACUGUUGUAAGAGAAGAAUGACAUUGAGAGUAACUGUUCAGUGUGUGACGGUAUCUUACCAGAAAGGAACGGCUAAAUACGUGCCAGCAGCCGCGGUAAUACGUAUGUUCCAAGCGUUAUCCGGAUUUAUUGGGCGUAAAGCGAGCGCAGACGGUUAUUUAAGUCCGAAGUGAAAGCCCACAGCUUAACUGUGGAAGUGCUUGGAAACGGAUAACUG